Molecule: long non-coding RNA, 1434 nt
Organism: Sciurus carolinensis (gray squirrel)
Lineage: Eukaryota; Metazoa; Chordata; Mammalia; Rodentia; Sciuridae
Exons: 2
Source: RefSeq, a predicted model, not a curated record
UAAGUUUGAGGCCAGCCUCAGCAAUGCAGUGAGAUCUGUCUCAAAAUAAAAUAAAAAGGGCUGGAAGUGUAGCUCAGUGAUAGAGCGCUUGCCUAGCAGGCAGGUGACCCUGAGUUCACCCCCCAUUUGGGUGGUGGGGUUGGGGGACACCAUUAGGACCCAUGCAGAAGCCAAGAGACAGGGUGGGAAGGGGAUCAGAAGGACCACAGAGGAGGAACUAGGUAGAAGCAAGGUGUGAAGAGAACACUGCCCUGAGAGUCAGGAGGCCUCAGCUUCCCACUUGCUCCAUUUCUGAGCUGCCCUGAGAACCUGGUUGCUUUGGGAAGUCUUUGAACAUAGGCGUUGAGUUUUUUGAAAAUUGCUACACAAAGGUAAAGUCUUCUUGAGCCUGGCCAUCAGGAAGUAUUUCAUAGUUAUUGUAUCUCUGCAAACAGAUUGCUCCAAGGGAGAGGGGAGGUCAGCUGGUGUUCUCUACCCUGGUCCCUGACAUUCUUCAGAUGAGGCCCAACAAGCAAACUUCUCCACCCCGUCUCUUAAGAGGCCAAUGCUAAGAGAGGUGGCAAGGGAAGCACUGCCCCCAGACUGAGCAAGUCACAGGCCAGAACAUGGCUCCCAGGGGCCCAGCUCCACCCUGCCUGGAGGGGCGAACUGCAGCACAUCCUUUGGAAAAUCUGAUGAUGGCCCUGGAGUCCCUUCUCAGAAAAUGCAGCACGCCUAACACUGUGCACACGACUUCAGAGGGGUGUGGAGCCCAUGUUAAGAAUCCUUGCUCUGCAUUUCUUGAGUGACGUCACAAGUCUAACGCAGCAAGUCCAAGGACACACAGAAGUUCCUAUGAUGUGGAAUCUCCUAUGCUCUGGCUGCUUCCUGAGAACCUUGUUCUUGGAACCUGGGAAAGAGGCAGCAUUGAUGGAGUUCACUCUCCCCUCUGCCUGGCCUAUGCUCCCCCUCCCUGAUGCUAGGGACACUUGGUCCUUGUAUCUGUGUCACUGUGGAGGAGCAUGCCCUAAGGUAGAGUGAAGGGAGAGUUGCUGGGAACAAUGACACCCUCUGCCCUUCUUAGGAAAAGAGAAGCUCGGGAACUGGAACAUGUAUGAGUGAGUGUAUAAGCACAAGUAAUAAAAGAGAAGAGAAGUUGGGCAUAAAAAAUCUUUAAACUUUUAUACCUUAAAGGAUACCUUCAAAAAAGUAGAAGCCAACCACAGAAUGAGAGAAAAAUGUUUGCAAAUUAGAUAUCUGAUCAGAAACUUCUAUCCAGGAGGGAUUGUGCCUUUGAGCUCCUGAAAAUCUCAAAGGUCACCAUUACUCCUGAAAGGGAUUAGAGAGUUACAUGCAUAAUACUUCUUGGGAUUUCAAAAGAUUACAACUCAAUAAUAAAGACAAAUGACCCAGCUGGAAAAAAAAAAAAAAAAGGCAAAUGAUUGAAAAACAAUU